UGUGCUUUCACCCAGUCCGGAGGGGACCUC
Molecule: small RNA, 30 nt
Filed under: Bombyx mori (domestic silkworm)
Lineage: Eukaryota; Metazoa; Arthropoda; Insecta; Lepidoptera; Bombycidae
Description: ovarian small RNA-35916
Source: RNAcentral